Molecule: ribosomal RNA, 505 nt
Filed under: uncultured bacterium
Lineage: Bacteria
Description: partial 16S ribosomal RNA
Rfam family: Bacterial small subunit ribosomal RNA
Source: RNAcentral
GACGAACGCUGGCGGCGUGCCUAAUACAUGCAAGUAGAACGCACAGUUUAUACCGUAGCUUGCUACACCAUAGACUGUGAGUUGCGAACGGGUGAGUAACGCGUAGGUAACCUGCCUGGUAGCGGGGGAUAACUAAUGGAAACGAUAGCUAAUACCGCAUAAUAUUAAUUAUUGCAUGAUAAUUAAUUGAAAGGUGCAAUUGCACCACUACCAGAUGGACCUGCGUUGUAUUAGCUAGUAGGGGAGGUAACGGCUCACCUAGGCGACGAUACAUAGCCGACCUGGAGGGGUGGUCGGCCACCCUGGGAAUGAGACACGGCCCAGACUCCUACGGGAGGCAGCCGUAGGGGAUCUUCGGCAAUGGACGGAAGUCUGACCGAGCAACGACGCGGGAGUGAAGAAGGUUUUCGGAUCGUAAAGCUCUGUUGUAAGGGAAGAACGGGUGUGAGAGUGGAAAGUUCACACUGUGACGGUACCUUACCAGAAAGGGACGGCUAACUACGUG